GACCAUUGACAAGGAAUAAAGCAAGGAAGUACGGCGUUACUCUUGGAUUGCAUAUUCAAGAAUUUAUUACAAGAGAGAUGACUGAAAUUGCUAGGGAUAAGUGCGAGAAGGAACUUGAAGGUCAUUCGAAGCUGAUUACGUUGCUGGGUGUAUGCAUGGAUGAAGCAGAAGCAACUUGAAGAUUUGUAGCGCUCGCUACCAUUAUCAAAGUCGCGCUCGCGACAUUCAGUUAGCCGAAGAUACUUUUGUGUUUUGUGGAAGUUAAUUUUGGAGCACAUCAUGGAGGAAGAUAGUGGAGAAUCAGCCCGAACCAUAAGCAGGUUGUGGUUUCGUCCCUGAGGUUGUGGUUUCUGCUGGAACUAUUGAGGCAUACGAGAAUGUGGUUGGUUUUUAAAGACUUGGCAGUUAUUUUUGUUAUUUUAGCUUGUUUCCCUGUUGGGAUAGGAAUUCUGACUUAGUAUUUGUUUUCCUUUUCCAACUAGGUUUAGGUUUUUGCCUUACACUAUAAAUAAGGCCUUAAAUUCUUAUAUCAGACACUUUAUUUUUGUUUUGACAAAUUUAAUUCAGAUUUGCUUUAUGCAAAUUUCGGCCUUCUUUGAGAGAGUGAGAGUUUGCCUCUUUCAUUGAUUACAUCACGAAUCAGACCAACUUAUCAAUUUCGAUUGUGGCGUUCUUCUGAUCCGUUCUACAAAAUCCUUCCGUUAUUAGUGUUCUAGCUUCGCUAAGCUUAGGGUGCUAUAGAGGGUGGUUUAUCCACGUUCUUGGAAUCUAUAUCAGGGGUGCGACGGGGUUUGAGGACUAAGUGCCAUAGGGUUCCGCGUCA
Molecule: long non-coding RNA, 823 nt
Filed under: Manihot esculenta (cassava)
Lineage: Eukaryota; Viridiplantae; Streptophyta; Magnoliopsida; Malpighiales; Euphorbiaceae
Description: long non-coding RNA (MESC_LNC011366)
Source: RNAcentral